This 231-nucleotide ribosomal RNA is filed under the name uncultured bacterium. Its description in RNAcentral is "partial 16S ribosomal RNA". It matches the Rfam family "Bacterial small subunit ribosomal RNA", at positions 103 to 334 of the family's 1533-position model. The record is from RNAcentral.
CGGGUGAGUAACGCGUGGGUAACCUGCCUCAUACAGGGGGAUAACAGUUAGAAAUGACUGCUAAUACCGCAUAAGCGCACAGUGCCGCAUGGCACAGUGUGAAAAACUCCGGUGGUAUGAGAUGGACCCGCGUCUGAUUAGCUAGUUGGUGGGGUAACGGCCUACCAAGGCGACGAUCAGUAGCCGGCCUGAGAGGGUGAACGGCCACAUUGGGACUGAGACACGGCCCAA